RNAcentral lists this ribosomal RNA (443 nucleotides) under uncultured bacterium. Its description in RNAcentral is "partial 16S ribosomal RNA". It matches the Rfam family "Bacterial small subunit ribosomal RNA", at positions 338 to 795 of the family's 1533-position model. The record is from RNAcentral.
CCUACGGGAGGCAGCAGUGGGGAAUAUUGGGCAAUGGGCGCAAGCCUGACCCAGCAACGCCGCGUGAAGGAAGAAGGCUUUCGGGUUGUAAACUUCUUUUAUCAGGGACGAAGAAAGUGACGGUACCUGAGGAAUAAGCCACGGCUAACUACGUGCCAGCAGCCGCGGUAAUACGUAGGCGGAAAUCGUUGUCCGGAUUUACUGGGUGUAAAGGGCGUGUAGCCGGGUUGACAAGUCAGAUGUGAAAUCCCGCGGCUUAACCGCAGAACUGUAUUUGAAACUGUUGAUCUGGAGUACUGGAGAGGCAGAUGGAAUUCCUAGUGUAGCGGUGAAAUGCGUAGAUAUUAGGAGGAACACCAGUGGCGAAGGCGGUCUGCUGGACAGCAACUGACGGUGAGGCGCGAAAGCGUGGGGAGCAAACAGGAUUAGAUACCCCGGUAGUC